Non-coding RNA from Phalacrocorax carbo (great cormorant), 7655 nucleotides. The record is from RefSeq and is a predicted model, not a curated record. NCBI's taxonomy places the organism in Eukaryota, Metazoa, Chordata, Aves, Suliformes, Phalacrocoracidae.
CCUUUUAUCUGAAUUAAAAAUUGCCUCUUUGUUUCCAUGCUCCCAGGAAAGCAGGCUGGAGUGUGGUUUUAGCCCUGCAUUGUGGUGCAGGUACCAACACGAGGAGGCAGAAGGUAACCUGGGUUUUUGCCUUUAGGGGUUGCUAGAAGCUGGUGAAGAGCAGCCGUGCUUGCAGUGUCGGGGAAUUACCACAGUGUGAGUUUGUUUAUGGGCAUGCAAGAGUUGUGUGCACGUGGGACAGAGGUAAGGCUGCAUGUGGGGGCUUUAAUUUCACUGUUUUUCUGUUUUCUGUUGCCUUAGUGCAGUUGUCUCCAGAUGCUCCAUCAGAAACAUCUUUUGAGUGGAGCUGGGAGCCCGGUAGGGUGCUUUUGCUGUUGCCAAGGGUGGGCAGGUUGCAUGAUCAAGCCAGGCUGCUGUGAGAAGAGCUUUUGGCUGAUUGGGUGUUAAUUAGUUUUGGAGUGAAAUAUGAGGAAUGCAAAGUACUAUUUUAAGCUUCAGCUUGGCUGAGGGAAGGAAGGAAAUGAGGCCCUGGGGAUUAAUGAAAUUAUUUCACUGAUGUUUUUGUGGGGCAAUAAGCCUGAAGUCAGAGUGCUUUUGACUUGCUGUACUCAGAUGAGGUCACAGACUUUCGCAUCUAAUCCCUUCUCAGGGCACUGGCUCGGCAGUUUUAUGAGGCUGAGCCUCGGGCAAGCUUCCCAGCAGACCCUGAUGAAGGAUCUGAGAGCAGAGCACAAAGCCCUGGGGAUCGUCAGCUCUGCCACAGCCUCUUGGGCACCAAAUCGGAGCCAGCUGCAGUCUGUGUUGUUCAUCUGCACAGCUGCUCCAGCCCAAUGUGAUGGGGGCUUAGCCGCACGCAGCCGAGCAGCUUGAUGUUCACCCGUGGUUGCUAGAGGAUGUGUACGAAGGAAGGCAGGGGAAUCUCUGCUAAGUAUGGAGAGGUGCUGCUCUUGUUGGCUGCUUUAGCUUUUUCACCCCUUGCUGUAAUCUGGUCAUACGGAGGCUGGAAGCGGGGCCAGGGGAGUGAGGAGCUGUGAAGCCUGCAUUGCGGCUGCCUGAGCUGGAUGGCUUUCACAGGCGAAUAUAGUGCUUGGAUUGCUAGAGCUGUCACUUGAACAUCCUUCAGCAGCACUAAAGCAACCUUGAAGAAAAUCGAUACCCAAGAACUCACUGGGAGAGGCCAAGUCGGGAAAAAAGGAAAGGCUGAUUACAGGAAAGUGUGAUAUAUACACAGGGAGAACUAAGUCAGAAAGAGUUCAGCUACUUCAACGUCCAAGUCAAACAAGACGCAUGUAUUAAUGAAAAUACCCCUUACACGGGCUCCGGCACAAAAGUCGGAUGUGUCAAGCCCGGGUUCUGGCUACUACACCCAGGCAUUAGCUGAAAAAUGAGGUUCUGUAGCAGCCCCAAGAGGUCACCUCCACAGCUGCAGCAGGGUGAAAGCGGGGAUAGAAAUUUGGGCUGGUCACAUUUGUUUGGAUGCCUUUCAUAGCAGUGCAGUAAUGUUCUGACAACCUUUGCUGGUUAAUCGUGUAAAUGGGCAAAUGCCACAGAAGGCAGGUGUGAAAUUUUCUGCUGAUGUAUGGCUAGGGUAGCUAGAUCUGGAAGUGAACCAUCAGGUCCUAUCCAUUUUCUGGUCAAAGUGAAACCCAUUCCUCACGUCUAUUGUAUACUCCUUUAUCCGGUCUUGUUUUUAAAGCCCCGUGCAACAGCGCUUCCAGCCUUCUGCAAAGGAGACUAUUCCCAUUGCUCAUAAAUCUACUAUCAGGAAGCUGUUUCCAAGAUUAAAGCUUAAAUGUUUCCCCUCUCUAGUUUCAUGCCCCAGCUCCCAAUUCCCUCUCUGCUGUAAUCACCAUGUCUUGGUUUCCUCCCAGCAGCUGGCAGUUCAUGUGGACGCAUGCUGGGGUCUUCAUACCCCACACCAAGACCCCAAAAACCUCCAUGCCAUGUCUGCCCCAAGAAGACCUAUGGUGGGACACAUUGGAAAUGGGGUGUGCUGCCCAAAUGUUUGGAAGUGGCUGAGCCGGGCUUUGGGCAGGCAAUUGUGUAAUGGCGUUAAGAAAAACGUCUCUUGCCGUAGUUCCCUCUUGGCUAGUUUAAGAGCUGUUCAGAGCAUUGACUUAGCGUUUGGCCCAUGGAUGAAGUAGUUAAAGGUCAUUAUCUGGUCAAGGUCUGUGUGGUUUUGGGACAAGCUGUCAGUGCACUGAAAGUGGAGUUCAGGGUCUAUUGUGGAUAUUGUACCACCUAUGGCAGGAAUGAUCGCUCCUGAAAUUGCGACAAUAAGCCAUAGUGGCGAGCCCUUGGACCUGAAAAGUCUACGUGAUGUGUGGGCAGGGAUUUCUGAUGGAGGAGGGAGCAAGGGAAGGGAAGACACAGGAUAUCUGGGCUCAUGUGGGAGCGAGGGAGGAGUGUGGGAUCCUGAGUCUCUUGGCUGUGGCACUCAGCCCUUCAGUAGUAAAGCUUGGAGAAGACCCCAAGUCUUUUCAUCAGCCCCUAAAAUAAGACUAAGCCAAGGCAGCAGUCACGGGAGAGGCUGAUUUCUUAGCAGAGGCCACUCUGCGUGACAGAGGAGGCAGGACGUGGCUUUCCCCAGCACCCUUGGGCACAAGAGUGGGGGAAGGCCCCGGUUCUCCCAUUGUGGGAUCUCUGAGAGGCUUUUCACACCAGCCUUUGAUGUCCCUCCCAGCCUUCAUUGCCCUCAACUGUUUCUGUUCCCAGGGCCAUUUUGGGGCAGCUCCUUGGGUUGGUGGGGGGAGAGGCUCCUGAGGGGGACCCUUACCACCCGACCUCCCCUGAGGUCACUCCAUCACUUUUCUGUGCAGGUUGGCAAAUCCCUUGUGGCUCUGUCCUCUGUGGGACUUCAGGGGAGUCCCUCAACAAGAAAGGUGCUUCUAAUGCCCUGUACCACCAGAUAAAAUCUUUUGUACGUGUUUUUUUUUAUUAUUUUUACAUGAAAAAGCAACACUCAGAUUUCCUCCUGACAUUUAAAUUGUCAGUAAGUGACAAACUGAAUAAACAUUCCUGUUUCACUGGGACAAAGGCUCCAAGAUCCUGCUGUGACUAAAUGUUUCAUCAUUUCCGAAGUGAAAUGUUUCAGUUAAAAAAAAAAAUAAGAAAAGAAGAAACACUAAAAUUGACACAUUUCAAUGUUUUCCUAAUUAUUUUCUCUAUUUUGGCUGAAGCUAUUAGUCAAAAUUUGGCCCUAUUUAACAAAUAGUUUUGGAAUCUUCCAAAACUUCUAUUUUGGUGACUUUGCCCGUUAUUGGUGAAUAACAGUUUGAUCUCUGUGCUGCUCACCAGCGCAGUGUGUGUUCCCAUUUACCCUGAGGAGCUUUCCUUGCAGGUUUGCUGCUGGGACCUGCUUGGGCACCCCGACACCAUGACUCCCACAGCUCCCCGGCUGCACAACCGCCUGCCUCCGCCAGGCAGACUGAGGCUGCCUCUACCCUUUCCCAUGCAGGAUGUAUGUUGAAAUGCAUGUGUGUGUGCAUGUUAGGUUCAGGCCAUAAGACUUGCUCAUCUCUGCAUCUCUUUCGUACGUGUGGAUGGAGUCUCAGUGCCACACGGUGAUGGAGCAGGAUCUUUUGUGUAAGACCGAUCCCAGGCUAUCCUAAGCGGCUGCACCCAAUGACGUAUCUGGGCUAAACCUCUGCCAAGUUCCUCCCAGUUGCUGGCACAACUUGUUUGUUGGAUUCCAGUUCACCUUUCUUCCUGAGGCACCUGAAUUAAGGGGCUGCUUUGAAUCACCUCUCUCCUGAUCCCUUCUAUAUAUGAGUUGGUUGUUGAGCCUGUAAUCACGGGACAAGCAGGUACUGCUAAAGGUGAGGAAGCACUUCAUGGUUCUGAAAAUUACUGAAGUGAAAUUUUACAAUGAGUGCCUGCUGGUUUGUGACUUUUGUACAUCUAGGGAGUCCGAACAAGCAUAAGGCUUCAGGAUGCAAGAAGAGCUGAGGAAAGAUUUAUCCCCGCUGACUGGAAGUGGGAGAAGGUUUUCCAGUCCCAAAUUUCCCCGCCGCCGUCAGAGCCUGGCUGAGAGGCACAUCGCUGUCACAGUGCUGCUGAAGGUUUUCUCUCGUGCUGUUGUGAAAACCAUUGACCUCAGGUGAAAGCCCCAUGACCCUGAUCUGGGAACAGCACACUUCUUCAGCUGUCCAGGUCUGUCCUGUUGACACCACAAGAAUGAGAGGAGGGAAACCUCGCAGGCAGAAGACCCUCCUGCCUGCUGGCUCCCUUGAUCCCCCUUUACUGGCUUCAGAAAGCAAGAGCAGGUGGGUGCCAGCCAGCAGCCAGCGUAGUAAGAUUGGGUUCUUGGCAGUCUUUUGCAAUGGCAACUGAUUUUGAGCAUGCCAAGACCAGCCCCUUCAACCCUGAUUCUAUAAAAACCAGCCAGCUUCAGCAGUGAAACAGCUGCAGCUAAUGGGAAGAGCAACUCGCCCUGCAGGCUUCCGAAUGGUUCAGCUCUGAACCUCCCGGCCUUGGCAUACUGUCAUCUCUCUGUCCAUCAGCAGCUCCAAAACCUGUGUGCUGUGCUGCAUCGCUAACUCGCGUAAGGUUUAUCGCAUGCCAAGGGAUGCCUUUUGCUUGCAGAGCGACGGGCCAGCUGCAGCUGUAUGCAAUACAGCCUUGUCGGGUCUCUUUCUAUAAGGUCCAAUGCACAGGUGCAUUUUUGCAGCCUUGCAGGCUACCAGUGCUUGGAGGGCCACGUGCUGGGGAGCUCGGCUGUGUGUGCUGAAGGCCUGCUGGACUACGGAGAGCACAGAAUCCAGCUUCAAAACACGCAGAGGGAAGUCUCCAGCUGGGAAAAGACAAACUCACUCUGUUGAAUGUUUUAGGUCCAAUUCCCUGGCUAGUGUGAGCAAACAAGCAUCUGCUCACUUUAAUCCCCGGCUGUACUAAGCAAGGAUGUUGCCGUGCAUUGGCCAAACAGGGUUUUUGCAAAGGAAGGAAAGUAAAAUGCAUGAUAAAUCUAUCACUAAUGGUAAAUCCUUUGAGAAAGCUAAACAGCACUCCAGGAGCUGGAGCACUCCAGAUUUGGGGAGUGUCUCCCAGCUGCAGGCUCAGGAGCGCCCUUGGCUCCAGCGCUACUGCAUCUUGCCCGUACGUGGCAUCUCCGAGCUGACCAAAUACUGACUCCUGCGAUGUGUGAGCGGCCAGGUCCUACCUGCCCUGCGGGCUGCCCCCAGCUGAACCCAGGGCUUUGCUUCUGCCCUUCUUGUCCGCACAGGCUGGAGGCUCUGAGAGCACUUGCAGUCCCUGAGCCCUGUCUCAGCACCCAGACUGCCACGCUCCAGGGUGGCUUCCAAAAGGGAUGGAGAACAGAAGGAAAAAGGUAGUCUGGCUCAUCAUGAACUAAGAUGCAGCUCAGACACAGACCUUGGGGCUGGGGCAGCAAGACGAGGCUUUGUGUCAGGGGGGAAGCAUUGGCAUCACCACAGGGGUUGGUUUCCUCUGACUGCCGUCCCAGACCGAGGAGAUGUCAGCCUCCUUGGAGGAGCAACAUGGAGCAAACUACAUUUGAUGUAAUAUUGCCGGUGGGAAAACCACUUGCUGCAGUUCUGAAGAAAGGAAUGAACGGGAUGGUCCAUGUCAUCUCAAAAGCUUCUCUAAGCCAGCAGCCGUGAAGAGAAGCCUAGACAUGGCAAAACCCCUUUGACUCCUGCCUCAAGGUAGCCAAGUCCCCCCCGCCAGCAGCUUCCUGCAGUGGGCGGCUAUGCCAGCAGUGCACCCGGUGCCAAGAGGAUGUGCGAGACAGAGCACACUUUGUGUCACGUCUGGCCCGGGCUUGCCUGGUGAGAAGAAACACAGCAGAAAUAUGCCAGGGUCUGACAUGUCACCUCACCGGUGGUGCCGUCCCUUUGGCCCAUUCUGGGACUCGAUGGGGAGCCGUGGUGGAGUCUCAGGACUGACGCCGGAGUAAAGUCAAGUUAGCUUGCUGCAGCAAAGGAAGACAACUCAGGAUGAGCGUGUGUCUCUGCACUUCUUUUAUAACCUCUCCUUAGCUGAUGCCUCAAGAUGCUACACACACUCAAAAAGGCUGGGACAAUGCUGCACUGGAGGCCAAGAGAAAGGCUGGAGUGAAGCCGGGGCAUGCUGGCUGCGGUGGGACAGCUUGGGUGCAGGAGAGGCCAGCAACUCAUUUCAGGUGGUUCCUGAGCCCAACAAGUACAAUCAGACUAACGUGACAGCCCGUGGCAGCUGGAAGAGGUUAUCCCCGGCACACACGUUAGUGUUGUGUUCCUCCACUCUUAGCAAGAGGAGGCGAUGCAAAUGAGGUGUAUUCAGCCCACUUGCCCUUGGAGCAUUCGUGGUACUGGGUCCUGCAGAGGGACACAUCUGAAGGUGUGCAAUUCACCGUGGGACUGGCAUGGCAGGUCCCAACCAACAGCAGCAGUGGCUGGGGAGGGAAUGAAGGAAAUCCCGACCCCCCACAGUAGAGAAAGCAGCUGGUGAGCAGCGCAAAAAGCCGUGCACCAUAGCCCGUGCUUCGUCCUAAGGUAACGCUUAGCCGGAGUUUCCUGAUGAACUGGGUAUUUUGGGGAUGGUGUGGUGGUGAAGGUCAGAAGGGACAUCUGGAGGUGACGGAUCUAAACCCCCAUGCAGGGCAGGACCUCACUUGGGUUGCUCAGGGUCUUAUCCUGAGGAGUUUUGACCAUCUCCAAGAUUGCCCAGCCUCUCUGGGAACCAGCAGGGAAGGGCUGAUGGAGGAGCGGCUGAGUAAGGGCAAGUUAGCCCUGGCUCCAGCAGCCACCUGGUCCCUGAGAGACACCUGGGGAUGGAGGGGGCCCAGGCCUGAGGGUGCCUGCCCACAGUUCUGCCUGCUGCUGAGGGUGUAGGUCUCAAGGUCCCUGAGGUCUGAGCAGACAGGAGUCAGGGGCUUCAGCCCCUCCACGCAGGAGCCUGCCAGCUGAAAGCCAGUGCUGAGCACAUCCCAAACACGAGCACCAGUGCGGCACUGCCAGGACUCAGGGUGUGGAUGUGAUGGCGAGCACUGGGAGGCUACCUCCAUCCCAGUUUGCAUCUACAUGUUUAAGGGUAUUUAAAGGGUUCUUAAUGGUGUUUAGGUAUAUUUAAAAGCUCACCCUUCUCCCUGGGACUAGAACAGGCAAGGGAGCCCACAUACGAGAUGCUCUGCGAGCAGAGCGGCCCCAAAGCUGCCCCAAGGUGGGUGGCAUGGCUGGAGCCAGAGGGGACCCACAGUCUCCCUGCCUGCCACCCUGGGGUGCCCCUGGGUGCCACCACCUGGGAUUUGCUGCUGAGGAGUUGAUGCAUGCAGCAAGUUGUGAGCGUUCUCAGCUGCUGGCAGUGCCUGAGCAGCCCUCUGCUCACUGGGCUGCACUGGGGACCAGCCACUGCACUGACAUGCGCCUGCCCCAUGUCCUGCUCGGACAGCCCUGGCACUGGUGCCAUCGGGCAGCAUCCUGAGCUGGAGAGAUGAAGGCCUUUGUGCAACAGUUUCCCUCCAGCUCUGCCCUGGAGAUGCAUGGGGAGGCCUGAAAAUGCCUUUGAGUCCUGGUCCUGCAAGAGGGGUCCCAGAGAUGCAUAGCUGGAUGAAAGCAGACACAUCUGGGUUGUAUCCCCUGCUUGGCUCCGGCCCCGCUGCUGAGGCUGGGCUCUUUCCUCCCCGCUCCGGGCUGCUCUGUGCCCCCCGCUGCAGCUGG